AUGUUGUCAUUGUGUGAUUCCAGGUUUCAGCUUGCUGUGUCUGAGGCUUUCUCCACCUGGCACACGAAGGUUGCAGAGAAGCACAGGGUCAGAACAGGGGCACAGGAACAUCCUGACAAGUUUUCCCUCCCCAUGCUACCAAACCAGAGGCCAGGCAUGAGGCAGCAAGAGCCAGGGAUGAAGCCAUCUGCCAGUGUGCUCCCCCUGUCCCCAGGCAUCUUUCCUGGGAUGGGGGAGACAGGUGGGCAGGAGUCAGCUCCUUCGGCUAGGCUCGACACCACACUCCUGGCCUCUGAGAACUGCCAGAGAGCACUCCAGGAGGUCUGUCAGCUGUCUGCAGAGUGGGAGCACGGGAAUUCCUGUUGGAGAGAGCAGAAGGUGGAAUGGGUGGCGUGGGAAGCCUGGGCUGCCAGGGAGGAUCAGCAGGUGCCCCAGGUAUCUGGCCCUGGAGGUCCUUGGGCUCCCCAUCCUUCACUUCAGCCCCAGAGAAAGGGGGUCACUGUGACAUGGGGGAGGGUUGGAACCCCCCUCCCUGUGGACGAGAUGGUGGAGAGAUUCCAGCCUGGGACCAGGCACCUUUCCCCACGAGCCAUCCAGGUGCUCCAUGCGCUGGAGCCACAUCAGACACGGAGGAACAUCUUCACGUUUUUGGCUGAGAACAAGCGACGGCGGCAGGAGCAACAGAAGCAGCUCUGCAGGUAACUCCGAAGGGAUAGAAUUCCCCCCAUCCCUCCUCUGAGGCAGCCCUGGGGCACAG
RNAcentral lists this long non-coding RNA (757 nucleotides) under Manacus vitellinus (golden-collared manakin). Its description in RNAcentral is "lncRNA (ENSMVIG00005011291.1)". The record is from RNAcentral. Lineage: Eukaryota; Metazoa; Chordata; Aves; Passeriformes; Pipridae.